UGUCUUCAGGGCGGGGUGAAAGUCCCCACCGGCGGUACAGUCCGCGAGCGCUUCGGCCCCGGCCGGAGGCAGCUGACCCGGUGCGAUUCCGGGACCGACAGUGACAGUCUGGAUGGGAGAAGACG
This 125-nucleotide non-coding RNA is filed under the name bovine gut metagenome. RNAcentral describes it as "FMN riboswitch (RFN element)". It matches the Rfam family "FMN riboswitch aptamer (RFN element)". Rfam says of the family: The RFN element is a highly conserved domain that is found frequently in the 5'-untranslated regions of prokaryotic mRNAs that encode for flavin mononucleotide (FMN) biosynthesis and transport proteins. This element is a metabolite-dependent riboswitch that directly binds FMN in the absence of proteins. The record is from RNAcentral.